This 447-nucleotide ribosomal RNA is filed under the name uncultured bacterium. RNAcentral describes it as "bacterial SSU rRNA". It matches the Rfam family "Bacterial small subunit ribosomal RNA", at positions 329 to 793 of the family's 1533-position model. The record is from RNAcentral.
UUCCAGACUCCUACGGGAGGCAGCAGUGGGGAAUAUUGCACAAUGGGGGAAACCCUGAUGCAGCGACGCCGCGUGAGUGAAGAAGUAUUUCGGUAUGUAAAGCUCUAUCAGCAGGGAAGAAAAUGACGGUACCUGAUUAAGAAGCCCCGGCUAACUACGUGCCAGCAGCCGCGGUAAUACGUAGGGGGCAAGCGUUAUCCGGAUUUACUGGGUGUAAAGGGAGCGUAGACGGUGAUGCAAGUCAGAAGUGAAAGCCCGGGGCCCAACUCCGGGACUGCUUUUGAAACUGUGUAACUGGAGUGCAGGAGAGGUAAGCGGAAUUCCUGGUGUAGCGGUGAAAUGCGUAGAUAUCAGGAGGAACACCAGUGGCGAAGGCGGCUUACUGGACUGUAACUGACGUUGAGGCUCGAAAGCGUGGGGAGCAAACAGGAUUAGAUACCCGGGUAA